AGUGAACGCUGGCGGUAGGCCUAACACAUGCAAGUCGAACGGCAGCACAGUAAGAGCUUGCUCUUACGGGUGGCGAGUGGCGGACGGGUGAGGAAUACAUCGGAAUCUACUUUUUCGUGGGGGAUAACGUAGGGAAACUUACGCUAAUACCGCAUACGACCUACGGGUGAAAGCAGGGGAUCUUCGGACCUUGCGCGAUUGAAUGAGCCGAUGUCGGAUUAGCUAGUUGGCGGGGUAAAGGCCCACCAAGGCGACGAUCCGUAGCUGGUCUGAGAGGAUGGUCAGCCACACUGGAACUGAGACACGGUCCAGACUCCUACGGGAGGCAGCAGUGGGGAAUCUUGGACAAUGGGCGCAAGCCUGAUCCAGCCAUACCGCGUGAGUGAAGAAGGCCUUCGGGUUGUAAAGCCCUUUUGUUGGGAAAGAAAAGCAGCAGGUUAAUACCCCGCUGUUCUGACGGUACCCAAAGAAUAAGCACCGGCUAACUUCGUG
RNAcentral lists this ribosomal RNA (492 nucleotides) under uncultured bacterium. RNAcentral's name for it is "partial 16S ribosomal RNA". It matches the Rfam family "Bacterial small subunit ribosomal RNA", at positions 29 to 507 of the family's 1533-position model. The record is from RNAcentral.